RNAcentral lists this ribosomal RNA (663 nucleotides) under uncultured bacterium. RNAcentral's name for it is "bacterial SSU rRNA". It matches the Rfam family "Bacterial small subunit ribosomal RNA", at positions 790 to 1482 of the family's 1533-position model. The record is from RNAcentral.
GUAGUCCACGCCGUAAACGAUGGAUACUAGCUGUUGGAGGUAUCGACCCCUUCAGUAGCGAAGCUAACGCGUUAAGUAUCCCGCCUGUGGAGUACGGUCGCAAGACUAAAACAUAAAGGAAUUGACGGGGAGCCGCACAAGCGGUGGAUUAUGUUCUUUAAUUCGAUGAUAACCGAUGAACCUUACCAGGGUUUGACAUCCUUGGAAUUUUGCCGAAAGGCGAGAGUGCUUCAUUGAGCCAAGUGACAGAUGAUGCAUGGCCGUCGUCAGCUCGUGUCGUGAGAUGUUUGGUUAAGUCCAUUAACGAGCGCAACCCUUGUGAUUAGUUGUAUUUUUCUAAUCAGACUGCCCUGGCAACGGGGAGGAAGGAGGGGAUGAGGUCAGGUCAGUAUUUCUCUUACACCCUGGGCUAGAAACAUAAUACAAUGGCCAGUACAAUGCGCAGCGAAGCCGCGAGGUGGAGCAAAUCGCAUCAAAGCUGGUCCCAGUUCGGAUUGGAGGCUGAAACUCGCCUCCAUGAAGUUGGAAUCGCUAGUAAUCGCAGAUCAGCAAGCUGCGGUGAAUACGUUCCCGGCUCUUGUACACACCGCCCGUCAAACCAUGAAAGUCACCAACACCCGAAGUCCGAUUCGUCGGCCUAAGGUGGGGGGGAUGAUUGGGGUU